RNAcentral lists this long non-coding RNA (442 nucleotides) under Bos indicus x Bos taurus (hybrid cattle). RNAcentral describes it as "lncRNA (ENSBIXG00005016238.1)". Lineage: Eukaryota; Metazoa; Chordata; Mammalia; Artiodactyla; Bovidae. The record is from RNAcentral.
CUUUGCCAUGGGGUAGGAGCAGAGAGAGCAGAAGCAGAGAGCCAGGGAGUGAGAUCCCAGCCCCGGCCUUGGUCCUGGUCUUCCUGCUGGGGCCCUGCCCUGCUGGAGAGAGAAGCUGGCAGCCUCUCCCAGGGAGAACCAGGCCUCAUAGGCGGCAGUGCACGGAUGAUUUGGGGAUGUUGGCUCCCAUGUUGGCGAAAUGGAGAUCAAACUUAUUGAAGUUUGAGAAGUUUUAAAGAAUGUUAAUAGCUGACAACAGAGUUCUUGUCCUGGACGUCUCAAAUCGGAACACACAAUGCUGUACCGAGGAAACUGUUCUGUUGAUGGCUCUGGAGAGGCCCCCUGGAACUCUAGUUCUCAGCAGCCAACUCUGGUGAUGGAGGAUGGGAUUUAAAUGGUGGACACCUAAAGGAGAAGAAAGCACAAAAGAAUGUCCAAUCAA